This is a non-coding RNA of Myotis lucifugus (little brown bat), 548 nucleotides long. Lineage: Eukaryota; Metazoa; Chordata; Mammalia; Chiroptera; Vespertilionidae. The record is from the annotation of a RefSeq genome assembly.
AUGACCUCCACCAUGGCCUGGGCCCCUCUCCUCCUCACCCUCCUGGCUCACUGCACAGGAUCCUGGGCCCAGUCUGUGCUGACUCAGCCACCCUCAGUGUCGGGGUCCCUGGGCGAGAGGGUCACCAUCUCCUGCUCUGGAAGCAGCACCAACGUUGGGGGUAAUGGUGUAGAGUGGUACCAACAGGUUCCAAGAAAGGCCCCCAAACUCCUCAUCUAUGAUAAUAGCAACCGACCAUCAGGGAUUUCGGACCGGUUCUCUGGCUCCAGGUCUGGCAGCUCAGGCACCCUGACCAUCACGGGGCUGCAGGCUGAGGACGAGGCCGACUAUUACUGCUCAGCAUGGGACAGCACUCUUGGUGGUGCCACAGUGCUGCAGGCCUGUGGGGAACCAGCUGGUCGGGACGGCCGAGGACUCUGCAGCCUCCUGAGCGGCCUGCUCUGCUCCGUCCACGUCCAGGGCGGCGGCACCAGCCACAGCCAGGUCCCCAAGAGGCGGUCACGGCACAUGGUGGCCAGCGUGCAUCAUGGCCGGCCCAGGGACAGUGG